This 447-nucleotide ribosomal RNA is filed under the name uncultured prokaryote. RNAcentral describes it as "bacterial SSU rRNA". It matches the Rfam family "Bacterial small subunit ribosomal RNA", at positions 355 to 795 of the family's 1533-position model. The record is from RNAcentral.
UGGGGAAUUUUUCACAAUGGGCGCAAGCCCGAUGGAGCGACGCCGCGUGGGGGAUGAAUGGCUUCGGCCCGUAAACCCCUGUCAUUUGCGAUCAAACCUCACAACUUAAUACGUCGUGAGUUGAUAGUAGCAAAAGAGGAAGGGACGGCUAACUCUGUGCCAGCAGCCGCGGUAAUACGGAGGGGGCAAACGUUGUUCGGAAUCACUGGGCGUAAAGGGUGCGUAGGCGGUUCGGUAAGUCUGGUGUGAAAUCCCGCAGCUUAACUGCGGAACUGCAUUGGAAACUGCCGAGCUCGAGGAUGGGAGAGGCUGGUGGAAUUCCUGGUGUAGCGGUGAAAUGCGUAGAUAUGCGUAGGAACACCAGUGGCGAAAGCGGCCUCCUGGCCCACUUCUGACGCUCAGACACGAAAGCGAGGGUAGCAAACUGGAUGAGAUACCCUGGUACCC